RNAcentral lists this long non-coding RNA (382 nucleotides) under Equus caballus (horse). Its description in RNAcentral is "lncRNA (ENSECAG00000054788.1)". Lineage: Eukaryota; Metazoa; Chordata; Mammalia; Perissodactyla; Equidae. The record is from RNAcentral.
UGCUAAUUUGCAGGACACACAGAGCCCUGUUCUGUAACCUCCCCCUAGGCUGUGGAUAAACAAACUGGGUCAAAUAAAUUGUCAUCUACCCGGGGCAGUCCACUUAUCUGUGAAGAAACUUCCACUAACAACUGGAUUAAACAAUAAGACUGUUUCCAGUGACACGAUGACUGCCAUACAAAAGCCUUUAUGCAAGAGGAAAAAUGAAAGUGGAAUCGUUCAUCCAAUUAAAGGCUUACAGCAUCCUGAGGACUUUAAAUCAACUUUGAAAAAAUCUGACUUAUGAUAUGUAAGCUCUCUAGGAAUUCAUUCAGAAUUUCCAUGCAUCUCUGUUUAUGACACUGGUUCUCAAACUAUGCUUCCAUGGAACACUAUUUUCCCC